UACGGAAGGCAGCAGUGGGGAAUAUUGCACAAUGGGCGAAAGCCUGAUGCAGCUAUGCCGCGUGUAUGAAGAAGGCCUUAGGGUUGUAAAGUACUUUCAUCGGGGAGGAAAAAACAAAACUAAUAAUUUUAUUUCUUGACGUUACCCGAAAAAGAAGCACCGGCUAACUCUGUGCCAGCAGCCGCGGUAAUACGGAGGGUGCUAGCGUUAAUCAGAAUUACUGGGCGUAAAGAGCACGUAGGUGGUUUUUUUAAGUCAGAUGUGAAAUCCCUGGGCUUAACCUAGGAACUGCAUUUUGAAACUGAAAUACUAGAGUAUCGUAGAGGGAGGUAGAAUUCUAGGUGUAGCGGUGAAAUGCGUAGAUAUCUGGAGGAAUACCUGUGGCGAAAGCGGCCUCCUAAACGAAUACUGACACUGAGGUGCGAAAGCGUGGGGAGCAAACAGGGAUUAGAUACC
RNAcentral lists this ribosomal RNA (456 nucleotides) under uncultured bacterium. RNAcentral's name for it is "bacterial SSU rRNA". It matches the Rfam family "Bacterial small subunit ribosomal RNA", at positions 340 to 786 of the family's 1533-position model. The record is from RNAcentral.